This 261-nucleotide ribosomal RNA is filed under the name uncultured prokaryote. RNAcentral describes it as "partial 16S ribosomal RNA". It matches the Rfam family "Bacterial small subunit ribosomal RNA", at positions 524 to 784 of the family's 1533-position model. The record is from RNAcentral.
UACGUAUGGGGCAAGCGUUAUCCGGAUUUACUGGGUGUAAAGGGAGCGCAGACGGCAUUGCAAGUCUGAUGUGAAAGCCCGGGGCUCAACCCCGGAAUGGCCUUCAAAACUGCGGGUCUUGAGUUCGAGAGAGGUGAGUGGAAUUCCGAGUGCAGAGGUGAAAUUCGUAGAUAUUCGGAGGAACACCAGUGGCGAAGGCGGCUCACUGGCUCGACACUGACGCUGAGGUGCGAAAGCGUGGGGAGCAAACAGGAUUAGAUA